Molecule: ribosomal RNA, 205 nt
Filed under: Thanatephorus cucumeris
Lineage: Eukaryota; Fungi; Basidiomycota; Agaricomycetes; Cantharellales; Ceratobasidiaceae
Description: partial small subunit ribosomal RNA
Rfam family: Eukaryotic small subunit ribosomal RNA
Source: RNAcentral
AACGAGACCUUAACCUGCUAAAUAGUCAGGCCGGCUUUUGCUGGUCGCAGACUUCUUAGAGGGACUGUCAGCGUCUAGCUGACGGAAGUUUGAGGCAAUAACAGGUCUGUGAUGCCCUUAGAUGUUCUGGGCGGCACGCGCGCUACACUGACAGAGCCAGCGAGUUCUCACCUUGGCCGGAAGGUCUGGGUAAUCUUGUGAAACU